CCCUGAGUUGACGACGUUGCCGCCGGAGAGGGAGUUUGAGUUUGUGAUUGAUGUAGUUCCUGGAACUGCACCAAUCUCAAAGGUACCUUAUCGGAUAGCGCCGGCUGAGCUGAGAGAGCUAAAGGCACAACUUCAGGAUUUGAUGGAUAAAGGGUUUGUGAGACCCAGUGUGUCGCCUUGGGGAGCGCCAGUGCUAUUUGUAAAGAAGAAGGAUGGUUCACUCAGGUUAUGUGUGGAUUACCGGGAGCUGAAUAAAGUGACCAUCAAGAAUAAGUAUCCACUGCCGCGCAUUGAUGAUUUAUUUGAUCAGUUGCAGGGAUCCUUCGUCUUCUCGAAGAUUGAUCUCUAGUCAGGUUACCACCAGCUGAGGGUGAGGGCCGAGGAUGUUCCCAAGACGGCUUUUCGGACUUGGUACGGGCAUUAUGAGUUUACAGUAAUGCCUUUUGGAUUGACAAAUACCCCUGCCGCAUUCAUGGAUUUGAGGAACAGAGUGUUCAAGCCGUUCUUGGAUAGAUUUGUGGUAGUCUUCAUCGACGACAUCCUGAUAUACUCCCGGAGUGAUGCUGAGCAUGAGGAGCACUUGAGGAUUGUGCUACAGCUUCUGCGAAAGAAGAAGCUGUAUGCCAAGUUGAAGAAGUGCGAGUUCUGGCUUCGGGAGGUUGCUUUCUUGGGCCACGUGAUUUCAGCCGAGGGCGUAGCAGUGGACCCGAAGAAGAUUGAGGCGAUUCGAGAUUGGCCUAGACCGACGACGGUGACUGAGGUACGGAGCUUCCUGGGACUGGCAGGAUAUUACCGUCGGUUUGUGGAAGGCUUUGCGAAACUUUCCACACCCCUCACACGCUUGACGCGAAAGGGGAUUCGUUUUGUUUGGAGCGAUGACUGUCAGAGGAGCUUUGACGAGUUGAGACUGAGGUUGACAUCAGCUCCUAUCCUUGCCCUUCCGGUGAUGGGGGAUGGAUUUGUGAUCUACAGUGAUGCAUCGCACAGUGGACUUGGUUGCGUGCUGAUGCAGCAUGGUAGGGUGAUUGUUUAUGCUUCACGGCAAUUAAAGGAUUUUGAGAAGAAUUACCCUACGCAUGACUUGGAGCUUGCCGCGGUGGUUUUUGCUUUGAAGCUCUGGCGGCAUUACCUGUACGGCGAGCACUGCGAGGUUUUCACCGAUCAUCAAAGUCUCAAGUAUCUGUUCACACAGAAGGAGCUGAAUCUGAGGCAGCGCCGGUGGUUGGAGUUACUGAAGGACUAUGACAUUAGUAUUCAGUAUCAUCCCGGCAGGGCGAAUGUGGUGGCAGAUGCGUUGAGCAGGAAGUCAGUGCAGAGCCUGAGUUUGAGGAUUACUGAGGAGAGACCCCUACUCGAGGAGUUACAGCGGCUGGGACUCGAGAUAGUACCCCCUGGGUUUACGGCGAGGCUGACGUCUCUAGUAUUACAGCCCACUCUGUUGGAUAGAAUCCGAGAGAAACAAAGUGGAGAUCCGUACUUGUUGAGGAUUAGAGAGCAGUUAGACAGGGGGCAGGCUGAGGGAUUUGCUUUGGACAGUUCGGGAGUACUACGGUACAGGGACCGACUGUGUGUGCCUGUGGAUCCGGAGAUUCGAGCGGAUAUUCUGAGAGAGGCUCAUUGUUCCCCUUAUACGGUUCACCCUGGGGGAACCAAGAUGUAUAAGGAUCUUAAGGCACAGUUUUGGUGGCCUGGAAUGAAGAGGGACAUUGGCAGAUUUGUGGCUCAGUGUUUGACUUGCCAACAGGUGAAGGCCGAGCAUCGGGUGCCUGCUGGCAAGCUUCAGAGUCUGCCAGUUCCCGAGUGGAACUGGGAGCACACCACGAUGGACUUCGUCGUUGGAUUGCCUAGAGCGCAGGGUGGCUACGACGCGAUUUGGGUGAUAGUGGACAGACUGACCAAGUCUGCUCACUUCCUACCGGUUCAGACUACCUGGUCCAGGGAGAGACUCGCGCAGCUAUACUUGGAUGAGAUCGUUAGGCUGCACGGCGUGCCAGUGUCGAUUGUAUCAGAUAGAGACCCGAGGUUCGUAUCCCAGUUUUGGAGGAGCCUUCAGACAGCCUUGGGUACACAGCUACAUUUCAGCACAGCGUUCCACCCACAGACAGAUGGUCAGUCAGAGCGGACCAUUCAGACUCUAGAGGACAUGCUGAGGGCAUGUGUUCUGGACUUUGGAGGAGGGUGGUAUCGACAUUUGAGACUGGUUGAGUUUGCGUACAACAACAGCUAUCAAGCGAGCAUUCAGAUGGCUCCGUUUGAGGCGUUGUAUGGACGCAAAUGUCGAUCCCCCCUAUUUUGGAGUGAUGUGGGUGAGCGGAGGACACUUGGACCAGAGAUUCUACUUGAGGCUGAAGAAAAGGUGAGAGUCGUUCGACGACACCUUUUGACAGCACAGAGCCGACAGAGGAGCUACGCCGAUACCAGGAGACGAGACUUGGAGUUUCAGGUUGGAGAUCAUGUUUUUCUCAAAGUCUCGCCGUCUAGAGGGAUACGCCGUUUUGGAGUACGUGGAAAGCUUAGUCCACGGUUUGUUGGCCCUUUCGAGGUAUUGGAGCGUAUCGGACCGGUGGCUUACAGGAUAGCUCUACCCCCGCGACUUGCUGGCAUCCACGAUGUUUUCCACGUCUCAGCAUUGAAGAGAUAUGUUUUCGAUCCCUCUCAUGUGAUUGACUUCACUCCACUAGAGAUUGGCGAGGAUCUGAGAUACGAGGAGCGACCAUUGCGGAUUCUUGCUCAGGAGACGAAAGAAUUGCGCAAUCGGGCCAUCCCGUAUGUGAAAGUGCAGUGGAGCAAUCACGAGGAGCGGGAGGCGACUUGGGAGCCUGAGACAGUGAUGAGGGAGUCCUACCCCGACUUGUUCGUUGCCCCGUCUUAAGGUAUGUUUUAAGUUUCGAGGACGAAACUUUUUAUAGUGGGGGAGGAUGUAGUAUCCUUAUUUCUUUAUCUUUUCUUUUCCUUUUUCUUUUUAUUUCUUUUGAGUUGGUAAGCAUGCUGGGGAUAAGGAUGCCACGUGCACCUUACCCCCAAGCAUGCUUAUCACCUUAAUACUUGUGCAUAGUUUAUAUAUAAUUCUUGAGCCUCUACGCAUAUAGUUCUUGAGCCGUACGUAGAGGAGGAGCUCAGGUGGUGUGGAGUUUCGUCGACGUCGCGCAGCGGUGCCGUUCGAGCGUGUGUUCGUCGUCGUAGCAUCGCGAGGGGGGCCGGGCGAGGGUCCGAUUCUGCCGUUUUUGUUGUCGCGCCGGAUUGUGAUUAGCGUUUGAGGUGGGUUACAUCGGCUUUACUCCUAAGUUCUUAUUGGUCGACAUGUAUAGAUCUUGAUUUCGGUCAUUAAUUUAGCUCAAAUUCAUGGACUAUAUGUAGAUUGUGAAAUCUGAAUUUUGGAGCAUAUUUUAUAAAUUAAGUAGAUCAUACAUGUUGGACUUGGAAAUUGAAUUAGGAGAAAACCUACGAUUUGGACCUGUCACCAGUUUUAACUACCUGAUUUAGCUCUAGGAGCCGUUAGAAAAUUGUACUGUCGCAGUUCUUCGAGACGAGUACUCCAGGUAGUUUAGAAUGUAUUUACACUCGUGCUCGUUCGCCGAGUGGAUUUUUACAGGGUCGUUCAGGUUGUUUCGGACUGUUGGGUGCCGUCAGAGUUGACGGUGGACCCGUAUCGCCUUUUUGGGCGUCAGAUUGUGCCGAGGGCACGUUACCUAUUGGUUGUUAGACCAGUUUGAGUCGAUUACUUGACUUUGGCUAGUUGGAGCCUGUUUGAGCUCGACAGAGAUACGCUGCAUACUCGGUUGGGUAGCGCCCACGAGUGCCACUCCGGAGUCAGGCUUGUGCUUUCGCGUUGGUGUCGCUCAUGCCAGUUGGACUUGCUCUCCACGGACCAGUUGGUGUGGAGGUAGCUGGAUAGUCGCAACGGGGCAGGGACGGGUGUGUUCACACUCCCAGGGACGGGUAUGCUUAUAGUCCCGAUUGGAUUGGGUCAGAUUGACAUUUCCUACAGUUGGUUAGUGUAGAGCAUGAUAGUGUAGUAAUUGAUAGCGGUAGAGCGUACUUCCUGCUUUUCCUACUAUUCUUGCUCCCUUCUGUAGACUUAGUGGGUGACCGAUGUUGUUUUGGGCGGUACCCACUGAGGACUACUUGUUUUUACAGUAGUUCUCACGCCCAGUUGUUACUCUUGUUUUGCAGAGCCAUAGGUUUCGGCUGCUGCGCCUUCCGCGGAUCAGGAUCGAGGCAAGGGCGUCGCGAGUUAGAGCCCUACCUGACGAGCAGAGUUAGAGGCACCCCUACUGCAGGUAGAUGUUUUGUUUCGAGUUUAUGUACAUAGUUUACCUAACUCGCCAGUGCGAGUAACUCUGUAUUUUGGAUUUGAGCUAUGUAUAUGAAACUCAAUUUGUUUAGCUUUUGUUUUCUCUAGCAGCUCUAUACUACUGUUUGUAGUAUUGUAUGUUUACAGGUACAGCUGUCGCUUCGUAUACAGGGAAAAUUCCUUUGUAUACGGCGGAUUUGUCGGCGUGCCCGGGGAACGUGUAAUCCGGGGCGUGACAGAUUAAGUUGGUAUCAGAGCUUUGCUAUAGGUCAUUGGGACCUAGGAAACCUAAGUUGGCAAACCUUAGGAAGCAAGACGCGAGAGGCGUGAUUUAAUUGCGGAAGUCGAUGAUUAUUUGUUCUAACUCCUCCUAAAGCGGAGUGAGUGACUGAAGGAGUUCCUGUUUUGGCCUGAGAAAUUAUGUUGGCUGCAGACGACAUAAUUUUGGAGGAAAACAGGGACCGCCUUCCAGACUUUCGUUGAUUGGGUCGAGAGUGUUGUAUUGUAUCUGACCCCGACUUGUUCUUUGCAGCUAUGUAUCGUCGCCGAGGUCGACCUUCGUUACGGGAGCGCGCCGAGUUGGCGCGAGAUCGUGCUGGACCUUCUGAGAGACCCGAGCAGAUGGAGCAGAGUGCUCGGCAGGAGCAGAGUGACAGACCGGAGGCGAGUGCACCCCCUGUUGUAGGGCCGAGUGCGCAACCUGAGGCUGGCGCACCCCCUGACCUAAGUGCACAGUUGGUUGCCCUGACUGAGGUGACGAGGCAGCAGGGGGAGUUGUUGCAGAGGUUGUGUGAGAGAAUAGCUCAGUCACCGAGUUCAGCACCGAGUAUACCAGAGCAUACUGUUCCCCCACCGACUACUCCAGUGUCAGCUCCAGCCGCAGCUAUGCCCCCACCAGUGGAGCUUCCUACAGCGCCAGUUGCGCCUGCUAGGGGACCCGUACAGUUGACAGAGGCCGAGCAGGAGCGAUGGACGGAGAGGUUGGCUCGUUUCCGCUGAUUUGAUCCACCUACUUUCGAUGGCAGCGGCACUGAGGCCUGGGUUGUUGAGGGAUGGGUCAGUGCUAUGGAGAGGUUAUUCGAGGAUCUGUACGUUCCAGAGGGGGAGCAGGUACCUUUGGGAGUACAUUGUUUGUCAGGUGAUGCACGUGAUUGGUGGCGGAGAGCGAGGCGAGACCAGGGACUAGUGGCGGCACAGCUGAGGUCGGAUGAGUUCUGUGGAAUGCUGUAUGGGAUGUAUUUUCCCAACAGCAUGAAACAGAAGAUUGAGGAGGAUUUAAAGAGGAUCCAGCAGGGCGAGCGGACAGUUCAGGAGUAUGUUCGGGAGUUUACUAGACUCUUGAACUGUGUUCCGUUCGUGGCCAGAGACGAGGCACAUAGGGUCUACUUGUUUGAGCAGGGUUUGACACCCGACCUAUUCAGGUUUGUUAGGGCGCAGAGGUCGAGGACUUUGGACGCGUCCAUUGAGCAGGCACUAUGGGAGGAGAGAGGAGAGGUGUCACUGCGAGAGAGGGCUCAGGGGCCGGGACAGAGUCAGGACAGGAAGCGCCCAGCUCCAAACGACGGAGGACAGUCGAGUAGCAGGCGUCCGCCGAGACCUCCACGAUCGCGUUCUCAGGGUCGUGGGUUCUCGGGACGUCAGCGAUCCAGAGACUUCCGUCAGCGAGGACAGCCAGAGAGGACGCCGCAGUGUGUGAUCUGCGGAGGACCACACUGGCCCAGACAGUGUGAGCAGAGGGAGGGCCGGUGCUACGGAUGUGGUCAGCCGGGACACAUGAGGGCAGCUUGUCCCAGAGCAGCAUCUCCAGCACCAUCAUCUGCUUCAGCUCCACCAGCACCUCAGCAGACUUAUAGAGCAGCACCGAGUUACCGCCAGGAUGAUAGAUCGUCCAUGCCGCGACAGAGUGAGCGUCGACAGCAGGCUCCGAGUGGUAGAGUCUAUGCAGCUCAGGUGGAGGACUCUACAGCAGCCGACCGAGUGGUGGCAGGUAUCACUUUGAUUUCUGGCAUUAGAGUUCACACUCUUUUUGAUACUGGUGCAACGCAUUCCUUUGUUAGCCGAGCAUUUGCAUUGUUGCAUGGUCUAGAGUUAGGGGCAUUGUCACAGGCACGAGAGGUGCAGAUCCCGGACCAUGUUUUACAGGUUGCGGAGUGUUGUUGGUCGUGUCCGGUGCAGUUGGACUCGUGGGUCAUGCCCGCAGACCUGUUGGUGUUAGGGCAGCUGCAGGACUUCGACGUCGUGCUCGGUAUGGAUUGGCUUGCGCGGUACUAUGCUACGAUCGACUGUGGAGCGAGGACGGUGACGUUCCGCGAGCCAGGUCAGGAAGAGUUCACAUUCAGAGGCUGCAGGAGUACGCUAUUUGCCACCUGGAUAUCUUCGGCGAGGGCUCGACAGAUGCUGAGUAGCGGGUGUAUCGCUUUCCUAGCGACUGUUGUGGAGGUACCUACGGCGGCGCCGGGACUUGAGGACAUCCCAGUAGUCCGCGAGUUUCCGGAUGUAUUUCCCCCUGAGUUGACGACGUUGCCGCCGGAGAGGGAGAUUGAGUUUGUGAUUGAUGUGGUUCCUGGAACUGCACCAAUCUCAAAGGUACCUUAUCGGAUGGCGCCGGCAGAGCUGAGAGAGCUAAAGGCACAGCUUCAGGAUUUGAUGGAUAAAGGGUUUGUGAGACCCAGUGUGUCGCCUUGGGGAGCGCCAGUGCUAUUUGUAAAGAAGAAGGAUGGUUCACUCAGGUUAUGUGUGGAUUACCGGGAGCUGAAUAAAGUGACCAUCAAGAAUAAGUAUCCACUGCCGCGCAUUGAUGAUUUAUUUGAUCAGUUGCAGGGAUCCUUCGUCUUCUCGAAGAUUGAUCUCUAGUCAGGUUACCACCAGCUGAGGGUGAGGGCCGAGGAUGUUCCCAAGACGGCUUUUCGGACUUGGUACGGGCAUUAUGAGUUUACAGUAAUGCCUUUUGGAUUGACAAAUACCCCUGCCGCAUUCAUGGAUUUGAGGAACAGAGUGUUCAAGCCGUUCUUGGAUAGAUUUGUGGUAGUCUUCAUCGACGACAUCCUGAUAUACUCCCGGAGUGAUGCUGAGCAUGAGGAGCACUUGAGGAUUGUGCUACAGCUUCUGCGAAAGAAGAAGCUGUAUGCCAAGUUGAAGAAGUGCGAGUUCUGGCUUCGGGAGGUUGCUUUCUUGGGCCACGUGAUUUCAGCCGAGGGCGUAGCAGUGGACCCGAAGAAGAUUGAGGCGAUUCGAGAUUGGCCUAGACCGACGACGGUGACUGAGGUACGGAGCUUCCUGGGACUGGCAGGAUAUUACCGUCGGUUUGUGGAAGGCUUUGCGAAACUUUCCACACCCCUCACACGCUUGACGCGAAAGGGGAUUCGUUUUGUUUGGAGCGAUGACUGUCAGAGGAGCUUUGACGAGUUGAGACUGAGGUUGACAUCAGCUCCUAUCCUUGCCCUUCCGGUGAUGGGGGAUGGAUUUGUGAUCUACAGUGAUGCAUCGCACAGUGGACUUGGUUGCGUGCUGAUGCAGCAUGGUAGGGUGAUUGUUUAUGCUUCACGGCAAUUAAAGGAUUUUGAGAAGAAUUACCCUACGCAUGACUUGGAGCUUGCCGCGGUGGUUUUUGCUUUGAAGCUCUGGCGGCAUUACCUGUACGGCGAGCACUGCGAGGUUUUCACCGAUCAUCAAAGUCUCAAGUAUCUGUUCACACAGAAGGAGCUGAAUCUGAGGCAGCGCCGGUGGUUGGAGUUACUGAAGGACUAUGACAUUAGUAUUCAGUAUCAUCCCGGCAGGGCGAAUGUGGUGGCAGAUGCGUUGAGCAGGAAGUCAGUGCAGAGCCUGAGUUUGAGGAUUACUGAGGAGAGACCCCUACUCGAGGAGUUACAGCGGCUGGGACUCGAGAUAGUACCCCCUGGGUUUACGGCGAGGCUGACGUCUCUAGUAUUACAGCCCACUCUGUUGGAUAGAAUCCGAGAGAAACAAAGUGGAGAUCCGUACUUGUUGAGGAUUAGAGAGCAGUUAGACAGGGGGCAGGCUGAGGGAUUUGCUUUGGACAGUUCGGGAGUACUACGGUACAGGGACCGACUGUGUGUGCCUGUGGAUCCGGAGAUUCGAGCGGAUAUUCUGAGAGAGGCUCAUUGUUCCCCUUAUACGGUUCACCCUGGGGGAACCAAGAUGUAUAAGGAUCUUAAGGCACAGUUUUGGUGGCCUGGAAUGAAGAGGGACAUUGGCAGAUUUGUGGCUCAGUGUUUGACUUGCCAACAGGUGAAGGCCGAGCAUCAGGUGCCUGCUGGCAAGCUUCAGAGUCUGCCAGUUCCCGAGUGGAAGUGGGAGCACACCACGAUGGACUUCGUCGUUGGAUUGCCUAGAGCGCAGGGUGGCUACGACGCGAUUUGGGUGAUAGUGGACAGACUGACCAAGUCUGCUCACUUCCUACCGGUUCAGACUACCUGGUCCAGGGAGAGACUCGCGCAGCUAUACUUGGAUGAGAUCGUUAGGCUGCACGGCGUGCUAGUGUCGAUUGUAUCAGAUAGAGACCCGAGGUUCGUAUCCCAGUUUUGGAGGAGCCUUCAGACAGCCUUGGGUACACAGCUACAUUUCAGCACAACAUUCCACCCACAGACAGAUGGUCAGUCAGAGCGGACCAUUCAGACUCUAGAGGACAUGCUGAGGGCAUGUGUCCUGGACUUUGGAGGAGGGUGGUAUCGACAUUUGAGACUUGUUGAGUUUGCGUACAACAACAGCUAUCAAGCGAGCAUUCAAAUGGCUCCGUUUGAGGCGUUGUAUGGACGCAAAUGUCGAUCCCCCCUAUUUUGGAGUGAUGUGGGUGAGCGGAGGACAUUUGGACCAGAGAUUCUACUUGAGGCUGAAGAAAAGGUGAGAGUCGUUCGACGACACCUUUUGACAGCACAGAGCCGACAGAGGAGCUACGCCGAUACCAGGAGACGAGACUUGGAGUUUCAGGUUGGAGAUCAUAUUUUUCUCAAAGUCUCGCCGUCUAGAGGGAUACGUCAUUUUGGAGUACGUGGAAAGCUUAGUCCACGGUUUGUUGGCCCUUUCGAGGUAUUGGAGAAUAUCGGACCGGUGGCUUACAGGAUAGCUCUAUCCCCGCGACUAGCUGGCAUUCAUGAUGUAUUCCACGUCUCGGCGCUAAGAAAGUAUGUUUUCGAUCCGUCUCAUGUGAUUGACUUCACCCCACUAGAGAUUGGUGAGGACUUGAGGUACGAGGAGCGACCGGUGCGAAUUCUUGCUCGUGAGACGAAAGAAUUGCACAACCGGAUCAUUCCGUACGUGAAAGUGCAGUGGAGCAAUCACGAGGAGCGGGAGGCGACUUGGGAGCCUGAGAAGGUGAUGAGGGAGUCUUACCGCGACCUGUUCGUUGCCCCGUGUUGAGGUAUGUGUUAAGUUUCGAGGACGAAACUUUUUUGUAGUAGGGGAGGAUGUAGUAUCCUUAAUUUUGUUUUUAUUUGAGUUGGUAGACUAGUAGUGGAUAAGGAUGCCACGUGUAACUCUAACCUCAUGCAUCCUUAUCAAUUGAGUUUUAACUGAGGUGUAUAGUUUUUUUAUUUUCAUUUUUACUUCUUCUCUCUUUCUCCAUUCGGCCGAAGUAAGGAGGAGUUCGGGUUGUGCCGCGGAGCUCGAUUUCGACGCCGACGAUGCGCCGCGAAGCCGUUCGAAGGUACGGUUGGGCUCGUAGUGUUGUGAGGAGGCUUGGCAAGGGUCUAUUUCCGCCAUUCUCGACGUCGCGCCGGAUUGGAUUUAGCUUUCGAGGUGGGUUACAUCGGCUUUACUCCUAAGUUAUUAUUGGUCGACAUGUAUAGAUCUUGAUUUCGGUCAUUAAUUUAGCUCAAAUUCAUGGACUAUAUGUAGAUUGUGAAAUCUGAAUUUUGGAGCAUAUUUUAUAAAUUAAGUAGAUCAUACAUAUUGGACUUGGAAAUUGAAUUAGGAGAAAACCUACGAUUUGGACCUGUCACCAGUUUUAACUACCUGAUUUAGCUCUAGGAGCCGUUAGAAAAUUGUACUGUCGCAGUUAUUCGAGACGAGUACUCCAGGUAGUUUAGAAUGUAUUUACACUCGUGCUCGUUCGCCGAGUGGAUUUUUACAGGGUCGUUCAGGUUGUUUCGGACUGUUGGGUGCCGUCAGAGUUGACGGUGGACCCGUAUCGCCUUUUUGGGCGUCAGAUUGUGCCGAGGGCACUUACCUGUUGGUUGUUAGACCAUUUUGAGUCGAUUACUUGACUUUGGCUAGUUGGAGCCUGUUUGAGCUCGACAGAGAUACGCUGCAUACUCGGUUGGGUAGCGCCCACGAGUGCCACUCCGGAGUCAGGCUUGUGCUUUCGCGUUGGUGUCGCUCAUGCCAGUUGGACUUGCUCUCCACGGACCAGUUGGUGUGGAGGUAGCUGGAUAGUCGCAACGGGGCAGGGACGGGUGUGUUCACAGUCCCAGGGACGGGUAUGUUUAUAGUCCCGAUUGGAUUGGGUCAGAUUGACAUUUUCUACAGUUGGUUAGUGUAGAGCAUGAUAGUGUAGUGAUUGAUAGCGGUAGAGCGUACUUCCUGCUUUUCCUACUAUUCUUGCUCCCUUCUGUAGACUUAGUGGGUGACCGAUGUUGUUUUGGGCGGUACCCACUGAGGACUACUUGUUUUUACAGUAGUUCUCACGCCCAGUUGUUACUCUUGUUUUGCAGAGCCACAGGUUUCGGCUGCUGCGCCUUCUGCGGAUCAGGAUCGAGGCAAGAGCGUCGCGAGUUAGAGCCCUACCUGACGAGCAGAGUUAGAGGCACCCCUACUGCAGGUAGAUGUUUUGUUUCGAGUUUAUGUAUAUAGUUUACCUAACUCGCCAGUGCGAGUAACUCUGUAUUUUGGAUUUGAGCUAUAUAUAUGAAACUCAAUUUGUUUAGCUUUUGUUUUCUCUAGCAGCUCUAUACUACUGUUUGUAGUAUUGUAUGUUUUACAGGUACAGCUGUCGCUUCGUAUACAGGGAAAAUUCCUUUGUAUACGGCGGAUUUGUCGGCGUGCCCGGGGAACGUGUAAUCCGGGGCGUGACAUCGUAAGUUUCUUCUCCUCCGCUUAUUGAUAUGCUUAAACUCAGCGGGUGGCCCCGCCUGACCUGGGGUCGCGGUCCGAUGCGGCCCGCCCUUUUCUUUUACAUCGUAAAGGGGGAGGCGCGCGCUCGGGGUGGGGGUCCUCUCGGGGGCCGUUCGCCGCUGGGGCCGGAGGCACGGCGCUCGGCUCGCGGUCGCNCUCCCUUCUGUAGACUUAGUGGGUGACCGAUGUUGUUUUGGGCGGUACCCACUGAGGACUACUUGUUUUUACAGUAGUUCUCACGCUCAGUUGUUACCUAUGUUUUUGCAGAGCCACAGGUGCCGGCUGCUGCACCGUCUGCGGACCUGGAUCGAGGCAAGGGCGUCGCGAGUUAGAGCCCCUACCCGACGUGCUGAGCUAGAGGUGCCCUACUGCAGGUAGAUGUUUUGUUUAGAGUUUAUGUACAUAGUUGACUUAACUCGCCAGUGCGAGUAGCUCUGUAUUUUGGAUCUGAACUAUGUAUAUAAAACUCUGUUUUAUUUAGCUUCAGUUUUCUCUAGCAGCUCUCUACUACUGUUCGUAGUAGUGUUUGAUUUACAG
This 11899-nucleotide long non-coding RNA is filed under the name Ananas comosus (pineapple). RNAcentral's name for it is "long non-coding RNA (ACOM_LNC037915)". The record is from RNAcentral. Lineage: Eukaryota; Viridiplantae; Streptophyta; Magnoliopsida; Poales; Bromeliaceae.